RNAcentral lists this ribosomal RNA (253 nucleotides) under uncultured bacterium. Its description in RNAcentral is "partial 16S ribosomal RNA". It matches the Rfam family "Bacterial small subunit ribosomal RNA", at positions 524 to 776 of the family's 1533-position model. The record is from RNAcentral.
UACGUAGGUGGCAAGCGUUAUCCGGAAUUAUUGGGCGUAAAGCGCGCGCAGGUGGUUUCUUAAGUCUGAUGUGAAAGCCCACGGCUCAACCGUGGAGGGUCAUUGGAAACUGGGAGACUUGAGUGCAGAAGAGGAAAGUGGAAUUCCAUGUGUAGCGGUGAAAUGCGUAGAGAUAUGGAGGAACACCAGUGGCGAAGGCGGCAUCCUGGACCGAGACUGACACUGAGGAGCGAAAGCCAGGGGAGCAAACGGG